RNAcentral lists this unclassified non-coding RNA (302 nucleotides) under plant metagenome. RNAcentral describes it as "partial contains 5.8S ribosomal RNA, internal transcribed spacer 2, and large subunit ribosomal RNA". The stretch from base 1 to 105 matches the Rfam family "5.8S ribosomal RNA", at positions 50 to 154 of the family's 154-position model. The record is from RNAcentral.
GAAAUGCGAUAAGUAGUGUGAAUUGCAGAAUUCAGUGAAUCAUCGAAUCUUUGAACGCACAUUGCGCCCUUUGGUAUUCCUUAGGGCAUGCCUGUUCGAGCGUCAUUUAAACCUUCAAGCUCAGCUUGGUGAUGGGUGACUGUCCUCCCCUCGCGGGGGGACUCGCCUCAAAAACAUUGGCGGCCGGUACAUUGGCUUCGAGCGCAGCAGAAACGCGGUCUCGAGUCCUGUGGAUCGGCUCCCAUGAACCUCUUCUUUUAUUUUGACCUCGGAUCAGGUAGGGAUACCCGCUGAACUUAAGC